CUGCUUCAAUCACCAACACAUACACUCACACUGAAAUAAUCAAGGAAGACUAGCAUGGUCCCUAAGUGAGGGUGACAGGCAAAUUUGUGAAAUAAUCUAGUUUUAC
Molecule: small nuclear RNA, 106 nt
Filed under: Chinchilla lanigera (long-tailed chinchilla)
Lineage: Eukaryota; Metazoa; Chordata; Mammalia; Rodentia; Chinchillidae
Source: RNAcentral